Molecule: ribosomal RNA, 651 nt
Filed under: Ostreopsis sp.
Lineage: Eukaryota; Dinophyceae; Peridiniales; Ostreopsidaceae
Description: partial large subunit ribosomal RNA
Rfam family: Eukaryotic large subunit ribosomal RNA
Source: RNAcentral
AUGUGAUGUUCAUGUGUGUAUGUUUGUUUUGUAUACAGCUUGUGCUCAAUGAUUCACAUUUCUUGCAAGUGAAAUGCAAAUUGCAUGGUAAAGUUCAUGUGACAUGAUACAUGCUUGAGAUUCAUGAUGUGCAAGUACCAUGAGGGAAAUGUGAAAAGGACUUUGGAAAGAGAAUUAAACAAAGCCUGCAAUUGCUGAAAAUGAAAGCAAGUGUUAAUGUUUGGAAAUGUUUCUGCAAAUCAUGACAUCCAUACAUGUUGUAGUUGCAACACAUUUUCGAUUGCUUUACUAAGUGCAUGUAGCAACCACAGGAUGACUGUUCUUCUUUGAUUCAGUUGUACUGAGGUGUGUGUGCACUUGUGUUAAAAAUGAAUGCGUUUCACUAUGUGUCAUUCAGUGGCUUCAUGUAUGUUUUAUACAUGCUCUUUGAUGCUAUGCCAUGACCUGCAACAUGUCUGUUAGUAUUUUCACUUGACCCGUCUUGAAACACGGACCAAGGAGUCUGGCUAAGUGUGCAAACUGACUUUGUGUAUAGACUUGUAUGUAAUGAAAAUGUUUGUUGUUUGUUGUCACUACCAAUCAACUAUCAGAUUGUUGAUUACUUGAAUGUGAGCAUUGUUGCUAGGACCCGAAAGAUGGUGAACUAUGCUU